RNAcentral lists this ribosomal RNA (499 nucleotides) under uncultured soil bacterium. RNAcentral describes it as "bacterial SSU rRNA". It matches the Rfam family "Bacterial small subunit ribosomal RNA", at positions 26 to 524 of the family's 1533-position model. The record is from RNAcentral.
AGAUUGAACGCUGGCGGCAUGCCUUACACAUGCAAGUCGAACGGUAGAGUAGCAAUACUCGAGAGUGGCGAACGGGUGAGUAAUAUAUCGGAACGUGCCCAGUCGUGGGGGAUAACGUAGAGAAAUUUACGCUAAUACCGCAUACGAUCUAAGGAUGAAAGCGGGGGAUCGCAAGACCUCGCGCGAUUGGAGCGGCUGAUAUCAGAUUAGGUUGUUGGUGAGGUAAAAGCUCACCAAGCCGACGAUCUGUAGCUGGUUUGAGAGAACGACCAGCCACACUGGGACUGAGACACGGCCCAGACUCCUACGGGAGGCAGCAGUGGGGAAUUUUGGACAAUGGGCGAAAGCCUGAUCCAGCAAUGCCGCGUGCAGGAAGAAGGCCUUCGGGUGUAAACUGUCUUUUGUACGGAACGAAAGGCUCUUUACUAAUAAAGAGGCCCAUGACGGUACCGUAAGAAUAACGACACCGGACUAACUACGUGCCAGCAGCCGCGGUAAU